Molecule: non-coding RNA, 436 nt
Organism: Schizosaccharomyces pombe (fission yeast)
Lineage: Eukaryota; Fungi; Ascomycota; Schizosaccharomycetes; Schizosaccharomycetales; Schizosaccharomycetaceae
Source: the annotation of a GenBank genome assembly
ACGAGCUUCGUUGUGGGACAUGAUACCGCGAGAGGUGGUCAAAACAAUGACACCGACUUGACGAGAGGGCAAAAGUUGGUUGACCCACUUCUCAAUAUCCUUAAGCUUAACGUUGAAACGGGGAGAGAUAACACCGCACUUGUUAAUACGACCAUUCAACUGGAUAACAAUUUUGCCAGAACGGUGGUCGUCAAUUUCCGUGAAUUCGUCAAUGUAGCCAUGCUUUUGCAUGACAGUCAAAAACUUGACGAUAACCUUAGAGGAAGGACGGAUGAGCACUUGGCGACGUCCACGGCGCUCAGCGUUGACGAUAUUGUUUAAACAAUCAGCGAGAACAGAUUGACGAACCAUUUCUGCAAAUUGCUGCUGGUAUGAGAGAAGUUUUGUUUCGGCAUAGGAGCAUGUUUGUUCUCAAAAAAAGCAGUCACAUGUCUAC